Molecule: non-coding RNA, 130 nt
Organism: Myotis davidii
Lineage: Eukaryota; Metazoa; Chordata; Mammalia; Chiroptera; Vespertilionidae
Source: Rfam
AAAAUAGUCAAUGAGUCUGCUUAUCUGAAUGUAUUUCUGCAAAAAUUUAGAGAAAACGGGCAAUAGUAAAGCCAUAUAAUGAGCCUUAAAGAUAUUGAGGUCACUAAGGUCCCUGAAAAUGGCUAUAAGG